This 496-nucleotide ribosomal RNA is filed under the name uncultured bacterium. RNAcentral's name for it is "partial 16S ribosomal RNA". It matches the Rfam family "Bacterial small subunit ribosomal RNA", at positions 28 to 506 of the family's 1533-position model. The record is from RNAcentral.
GAUGAACGCUGGCGGCGUGCCUAAUACAUGCAAGUCGAGCGAACGGACGAGAAGCUUGCUUCUCUGAUGUUAGCGGCGGACGGGUGAGUAACACGUGGAUAACCUACCUAUAAGACUGGGAUAACUUCGGGAAACCGUAGCUAAUACCGGAUAAUAUUUUGAACCGCAUGGUUCAAAAGUGAAAGACGGUCUUGCUGUCACUUAUAGAUGGAUCCGCGCUGCAUUAGCUAGUUGGUAAGGUAACGGCUUACCAAGGCAACGAUGCAUAGCCGACCUGAGAGGGGGAUCGGCCCACCUGGACCGGAGCCAGGGGCCAGGCCCCGAGGGGGGGCGGCAGGGGGGAAUAUUCCGAAAUGGGGGAAACCGGGAGGGAACAACCCCGGGUGAGUGAUGAAGGUCUGCGGGACGUAAAACCUUUUUAUUAGGGAAAAAAAUAUGGGAAAGUAACUGUGCAAAUCUUGAGGGAACCAAACAAAAAAGCCCGGGCAAACUCCGG